UACGUAGGGGGCUAGCGUUGUCCGGAAUCAUUGGGCGUAAAGAGCGUGUAGGCGGCCCGGUAAGUCCGCUGUGAAAGUCCAGGGCUCAACCCUGGAAUGCCGGUGGAUACUGUCGGGCUCGAGUCCGGAAGAGGAGUGUGGAAUUCCUGGUGUAGCGGUGAAAUGCGCAGAUAUCAGGAGGAACACCAAUGGCGAAGGCAGCACUCUGGGACGUGACUGACGCUGAGACGCGAAAGCGUGGGGAGCAAACGGG
RNAcentral lists this ribosomal RNA (253 nucleotides) under uncultured bacterium. Its description in RNAcentral is "partial 16S ribosomal RNA". It matches the Rfam family "Bacterial small subunit ribosomal RNA", at positions 524 to 776 of the family's 1533-position model. The record is from RNAcentral.